CCUACGGGGGGCAGCAGUGGGGAAUAUUGGACAAUGGGGGGAACCCUGAUCCAGCCAUGCCGCGUGUGUGAAGAAGGCCCUCGGGUUGUAAAGCACUUUCAGUGAGGAAGAACGCCUGGUGGUUAAUACCCAUCAGGAAAGACAUCACUCACAGAAGAAGCACCGGCUAACUCCGUGCCAGCAGCCGCGGUAAUACGGAGGGUGCGAGCGUUAAUCGGAAUUACUGGGCGUAAAGCGCGCGUAGGUGGCUUGAUAAGCCGGUUGUGAAAGCCCCGGGCUCAACCUGGGAACGGCAUCCGGAACUGUGAAGCUAGAGUGCAGGAGAGGAAGGUAGAAUUCCCGGUGUAGCGGUGAAAUGCGUAGAGAUCGGGAGGAAUACCAGUGGCGAAGGCGGCCUUCUGGACUGACACUGACACUGAGGUGCGAAAGCGUGGGUAGCAAACAGGAUUAGAUACCCCUGUAGUC
This 465-nucleotide ribosomal RNA is filed under the name Vreelandella stevensii. RNAcentral's name for it is "partial 16S ribosomal RNA". It matches the Rfam family "Bacterial small subunit ribosomal RNA", at positions 338 to 795 of the family's 1533-position model. The record is from RNAcentral. Lineage: Bacteria; Pseudomonadati; Pseudomonadota; Gammaproteobacteria; Oceanospirillales; Halomonadaceae.